GAUGAACGCUAGCGGGAGGCCUAACACAUGCAAGUCGAACGGGAUUUCCGAGCAAUCGGGAUGAGAGUGGCGCACGGGUGAGUAACGCGUAUGCAACCUGCCUUUAACAGAGGGAUAGCCCAUAGAAAUGUGGAUUAAUACCUCAUAGUUCUUUUGGUCCGCAUGGACUGGAAGAUAAAGCUUUGGCGGUUAAAGAUGGGCAUGCGUGACAUUAGCUAGUUGGUAAGGUAACGGCUUACCAAGGCUACGAUGUCUAGGGGUUCUGAGAGGAUGAUCCCCCA
Molecule: ribosomal RNA, 281 nt
Filed under: uncultured Bacteroidota bacterium
Lineage: Bacteria; Pseudomonadati; Bacteroidota
Description: uncultured Bacteroidetes bacterium partial 16S ribosomal RNA
Rfam family: Bacterial small subunit ribosomal RNA
Source: RNAcentral